This 881-nucleotide ribosomal RNA is filed under the name uncultured Bacillota bacterium. RNAcentral describes it as "bacterial SSU rRNA". It matches the Rfam family "Bacterial small subunit ribosomal RNA", at positions 58 to 917 of the family's 1533-position model. The record is from RNAcentral. Lineage: Bacteria; Bacillati; Bacillota.
CAAGUCGAACGCGAAAGUUUCCUUCGGGGAGCGAGUAGAGUGGCGCACGGGUGAGUAACACGUAGGUAAUCUACCUUUGGAUGGGGAAUAACAACCGGAAACGGUUGCUAAUACCGCAUAAUGCAGCGGCACCUAAUGGUGACAGUUGUUAAAGCGGGGGAUCGAAAGACCUCGCGUCUGAAGAGGAGCCUGCGGCGGAUUAGCUAGUUGGUAAGGUAAUGGCUUACCAAGGCUAUGAUCCGUAACCGGCCUGAGAGGGCGGUCGGUCACACUGACACUGACAUACGGGUCAGACUCCUACGGGAGGCAGCAGUCGGGAAUUUUGGGCAAUGGGCGAAAGCCUGACCCAGCAACGCCGCGUGAAGGAUGAAAUCCCUCGGGAUGUAAACUUCGCAAGAACAGGAAGAAUAAGUAAGGGUUAAUAUCUCUUACGAUGACGGUACUGUUUGUAAGCUCCGGCUAACUCCGUGCCAGCAGCCGCGGUAAUACGGGGGGAGCAAGCGUUGUUCGGAUUUACUGGGCGUAAAGGGCGCGUAGGCGGCCACCGCAAGUCGGUUGUGAAAUCUCUGGGCUUAACCCAGAAAGGUCAACCGAUACUGCGGGGCUAGAGUGCAGAAGGGGCAACUGGAAUUCUCGGUGUAGCGGUGAAAUGCGUAGAUAUCGAGAGGAACACCUGCGGCGAAGGCGGGUUGCUGGGCUGACACUGACGCUGAAGCGCGAAAGCUAGGGGAGCGAACGGGAUUAGAUACCCCGGUAGUCCUAGCCUUAAACGAUGAAUGCUUGGUGUCUGGGGUUUUAUAGUCCCCGGGUGCCGUCGCUAACGCUUUAGCAUUCCGCCUGGGGAGUACGGUCGCAAGACUGAAACUCAAGGAAUUGACGGG